GUGAGGAGCCUGCGCUGCCUGCCGGUGGAGAAGGAAGAAGGAAGAGUCCAGGGCGGCGGCCGAAUGCUGGGCCUGACUCCCCUCCUCUCCUCAGCACUCACUCCCUGUGGGGCAGGUGGCCUGCUGACCUGGGGAAGGCCGUGGGAGAGGGGUCCUGAGGCUGAGCUGGGGACUGCCCGAGGGGCGAUAAGGGCCCGUGAAUUGGCCCUCAGCAGGCUGCAGCCACCCACCCCCCAUUCCUGAAGCUCCCCACACACCCCGGAGUCCCCUUCGUCUUGAGUGGAGGGUGCUGCAACCAGAGCGGCUCCUGGUUGGCGAGCUGCCCACUGAAGGGACACAAUGGUUCCGAGCCCCUCCCCCAGCCUGGAGUGAUUUGUCAUCUGGUGGAUCCAGAACCCACGGCAGACCUUGAGCUUCGGAUUGGCUCAUGUACUCUCAAGAGACCUCUCCUGGCCUGUGGCCAGGGUCCCUGUAGCAACUGGUCAGCUCUAGCCUGGAGCUGCGUGUCGACCGGCUCUGGGUCCAUCUUCCAGUACAGUGUUGGAUGGUCUAAUUGUGAAGCUCCUAACACUGUCUGGUAAAGAUGGCCCCCGGGCCGGUUCCCUCAGCAGUGACCUUCAGGGAGCCCUGAAGACCAUGGAGGCCUUCUGACCAACAACCUCUGACCUUUACCCUGUGGCCGGGGGUGUAAAUCGCUAGGAAAAGGGAAACAAUGGGGAAGAGACAAAAUGGCUGCCUCCAGGGUCACAGCAGGAUUUGAAAACAUACUUGCUUUCCAGGAACCUCUACUUUUCCUGCCUUGGGAAAAGAACAAAAUAAAGUGUGGAUGGGUACUUGUUGCA
Long non-coding RNA from Phyllostomus hastatus (greater spear-nosed bat), 842 nucleotides. RefSeq lists it as uncharacterized. The record is from RefSeq and is a predicted model, not a curated record. NCBI's taxonomy places the organism in Eukaryota, Metazoa, Chordata, Mammalia, Chiroptera, Phyllostomidae. The transcript has 2 exons.